AUUGAACGCUGGCGGCAGGCCUAACACAUGCAAGUCGAACGGUAACAGGAAGCAGCUUGCUGCUUCGCUGACGAGUGGCGGACGGGUGAGUAAUGUCUGGGAAACUGCCUGAUGGAGGGGGAUAACUACUGGAAACGGUAGCUAAUACCGCAUAACGUCGCAAGACCAAAGAGGGGGACCUUAGGGCCUCUUGCCAUCGGAUGUGCCCAGAUGGGAUUAGCUAGUAGGUGGGGUAACGGCUCACCUAGGCGACGAUCCCUAGCUGGUCUGAGAGGAUGACCAGCCACACUGGAACUGAGACACGGUCCAGACUCCUACGGGAGGCAGCAGUGGGGAAUAUUGCACAAUGGGCGCAGGCCUGAUGCAGCCAUGCCGCGUGUAUGAAGAAGGCCUUCGGGUUGUAAAGUACUUUCAGCGGGGAGGAAGGGAGUAAAGUUAAUACCUUUGCUCAUUGACGUUACCCGCAGAAGAAGCACCGGCUAACUCCGUGCCAGCAGCCGCGGUAAUACGGAGGGUGCAAGCGUUAAUCGGAAUUACUGGGCGUAAAGCGCACGCAGGCGGUUUGUUAAGUCAGAUGUGAAAUCCCCGGGCUCAACCUGGGAACUGCAUCUGAUACUGGCAAGCUUGAGUCUCGUAGAGGGGGGUAGAAUUCCAGGUGUAGCGGUGAAAUGCGUAGAGAUCUGGAGGAAUACCGGUGGCGAAGGCGGCCCCCUGGACGAAGACUGACGCUCAGGUGCGAAAGCGUGGGGAGCAAACAGG
RNAcentral lists this ribosomal RNA (759 nucleotides) under uncultured Enterobacteriaceae bacterium. RNAcentral's name for it is "bacterial SSU rRNA". It matches the Rfam family "Bacterial small subunit ribosomal RNA", at positions 28 to 776 of the family's 1533-position model. Lineage: Bacteria; Pseudomonadati; Pseudomonadota; Gammaproteobacteria; Enterobacterales; Enterobacteriaceae. The record is from RNAcentral.